Molecule: long non-coding RNA, 1575 nt
Organism: Schistocerca serialis cubense
Lineage: Eukaryota; Metazoa; Arthropoda; Insecta; Orthoptera; Acrididae
Exons: 2
Source: RefSeq, a predicted model, not a curated record
UGCGUCAGCGAAGGUCUUUGCAAAAAGAAUCGUCGUAAACAAGACCGCCUUCACCCACAACGCUUGCGCUCAAGUUACUUUUGCAGCUUGUUCUCGGACUAACCGAGUGAGAAGGCGGCCAACGGCUGGCUCCUUACCUGUGCCGAAGGUCUCCUUGUUGAGGUGCUUCCAGCCGAGAGAGACCUUGGUUUCCAUGGCAGCGGCGGCGGCGACGGCAGCGGCAGGGGACGCCUCGCAACGAAGAGCGGCGCUGGCAAAGUCUGCGGCAGCGAAUGGUGGUGGUGGUGGCGCGACCUCGGCUAACCUAAGCCGCCGACUCUAUCAAGCGGGCAUGCAGCGGCCAGGCGCCGACCUCCGCCACACACAGAGCGCAGCACGCGCUCGACACAUAUCUGCCCACUGACCGGCACACAAUUGCUCUCCUCACAAAUCACAAUCUUUCCCAAUUUACCGUCGACUCUGUCGCGAAGUUCACGCUUCAGCUCCGACAGACGCGCACAUACUCAGCUAAUAGCUCCACACCUCCUUACACUCAGCUGCCACUGUAGAUUUUUUUUUUACUUUAUUGUUAUUUUGACACCUGAACAAUCAGGUAGGCUGGCAGCAGCACAAUGCGCCGCUCUUCAGCCGAAGAGAGUACAAGGAAAUAAACAGAGAAGAGACAUCACUUAGAAAAACGGCGGGAAAAAACAGUAGACACAUGAACAUAAAAACAAAGGAAGCCGUUCACACUCGAUGACAAUCCACACUACGAACUGUUGACACGACGCAGAACACUGAAGAAGACGAUGGCACUGGUGAACAAUGGAGGGUGACGGCGAAACUAAACACUAAACAUGACGGCACACAGCCACUGUAGAGAGUCGGAGGGUACAACUACUUCCUUAAGUUCAAUUCACGAAUUGAGCGUGAGAAAGUGCUACCAGUCUUUAGUUACUUUCAUUGUCCUUGCAGGAAACUACGUGACGUAAGAAGCUGAAGAACUUUUUCUUUGGGACUUUUUAAAACUAUUAAAUGGUAUUUCAUCUACAGGUCAUCAUUACCGGUGGCAUCAUUACCGGUUUCGAUCUUAUUACCAAAUCGUUGUCAGAUGAAGAGUGGAAAUGUCAACACUGUAAGUGCCAUUUCUCCACAAAAUGCGUUUUCAAAUUUGUUGCGUUUUCCGUACUCUGUAGCACGACCCUAGACUCGUUUCAAGUUCCAAAUCAUGGAGAAGAUGUUGCGAACAUUUGUCACUAGAUGGCGCAUGGUCUUUGUGCGAAGCAGUGCUUCCCUCUGGCGUUCGAAGUAUCAACGUAUCCUCCAAUUCCAUGCACAGUUUGUGUGGUAAUCAGAGUGCAUGUAAACUGUUGUUUGUAUCAGUAAAACAUCUCUGUAAUGGAAAGACAUACUUUGGGUUUCAAAAAUAGUAAAAAAGUUAGAGAAUGAACACACAAAACAACGUGUGUCUGGGAAAUGUUAAGAAAGCCAUUUCUUCCUUAGCAGUGCAGGAAGUUCAACAGUAAACUUUACAUCUCAUCUCAAGUUGGCAGUGUGUAAGAAACAUUCAUCAAUACUGAAAGUUUUUUUUUCCCC